Molecule: transfer RNA, 108 nt
Filed under: Gemmatimonadota bacterium
Lineage: Bacteria; Pseudomonadati; Gemmatimonadota
Description: tRNA-OTHER
Source: RNAcentral
GUAAGUGGCCAAUGCUUCUACACUUACAGAGAGAGCGAAGGUCGAAACGGACGGUCGUAUCACGGACUGAAAAUCCGUGUGUCGUCGGUUCGAUUCCGACCCUGGCCA